Molecule: ribosomal RNA, 492 nt
Filed under: uncultured bacterium
Lineage: Bacteria
Description: partial 16S ribosomal RNA
Rfam family: Bacterial small subunit ribosomal RNA
Source: RNAcentral
AGUGAACGCUGGCGGUAGACCUAACACAUGCAAGUCGAACGGCAGCACAGUAAGAGCUUGCUCUUACGGGUGGCGAGUGGCGGACGGGUGAGGAAUACAUCGGAAUCUACUUUUUCGUGGGGGAUAACGUAGGGAAACUUACGCUAAUACCGCAUACUACCUACGGGUGAAAGCAGGGGAUCUUCGGACCUUGCGCGAUUGAAUGAGCCGAUGUCGGAUUAGCUAGUUGGCGGGGUAAAGGCCCACCAAGGCGACGAUCCGUAGCUGGUCUGAGAGGAUGAUCAGCCACACUGGAACUGAGACACGGUCCAGACUCCUACGGGAGGCAGCAGUGGGGAAUAUUGGACAAUGGGCGCAAGCCUGAUCCAGCCAUACCGCGUGGGUGAAGAAGGCCUUCGGGUUGUAAAGCCCUUUUGUUGGGAAAGAAAAGCAGCAGGUUAAUACCCCGCUGUUCUGACGGUACCCAAAGAAUAAGCACCGGCUAACUUCGUG